RNAcentral lists this unclassified non-coding RNA (319 nucleotides) under Hevea brasiliensis (rubber tree). Lineage: Eukaryota; Viridiplantae; Streptophyta; Magnoliopsida; Malpighiales; Euphorbiaceae. The record is from RNAcentral.
CGGAGAGGAAAAAAAAUAAAAUUAAAAAGUAAAAAUAAACAUCUCUCUCUCCAUUGCCUUUCUCAGCUUCUUCUUCAUGCUCCCUUCUCUUCUACGGGGAAUUUGAUGUUUUGACUCUGUCUACAAGGUAGAUCUGGAGAAGGGCACAGUAUUUGAUUGAUUUGUUUUUGGUUGGGAAUCUUGAAGUGAAGUAAAGCUGGCGGCUACACUGGCUUGGAGGUUUGCUGCCACCAAUGGCAGCAGCCUUGGUGCUAACGNCCUUGGUGCUAACGACAUGGAAAAAAAUGUUGAUGGAAAACUUCAAGAUUCAGAGCCCCCG